UGCCAGCAGCCGCGGUAAUACAGAGGGUGCAAACGUUGUUCGGAAUUACUGGGCGUAAAGCGUAUGUAGGCGGCCUUGUAGGUCGGAUGUGAAAGCCUUUGGCUCAACCAAAGAAGUGCAUUCGAAACCACAGGGCUAGAGUCCCGGAGAGGAAAGUGGAAUUCUCGGUGUAGAGGUGAAAUUCGUAGAUAUCGAGAGGAACACCUGUGGCGAAAGCGGCUUUCUGGACGAGGACUGACGCUGAGAUACGAAAGCGUGGGGAGCAAACAGGAUUAGAUA
Molecule: ribosomal RNA, 279 nt
Filed under: uncultured bacterium
Lineage: Bacteria
Description: partial 16S ribosomal RNA
Rfam family: Bacterial small subunit ribosomal RNA
Source: RNAcentral